Molecule: ribosomal RNA, 230 nt
Filed under: uncultured bacterium
Lineage: Bacteria
Description: partial 16S ribosomal RNA
Rfam family: Bacterial small subunit ribosomal RNA
Source: RNAcentral
CGUAAGCGUGCGCAGGCGGUUUGUAAGUCUGUCGUGAAGACCCGGGCUCAACCUGGGAAUUGCGAUGGAGACUGCAAGGCUUGAAUCUGGCAGAGGGGGGUAGAAUUCCACGUGUAGCAGUGAAAUGCGUAGAGAUGUGGAGGAACACCGAUGGCGAAGGCAGCCCCCUGGGUCAAGAUUGACGCUCAUGCACGAAAGCGUGGGGAGCAAACAGGAUUAGAUACCCCUGU